CGCCCGCCGCGCGCGGCGGGCGGGGCGGGGGCACGGGGGGGUGAAGAAKUAUUUCGGUAUGUAAAGCUCUAUCGGCAGGGAAGAAAGGCCCGAAAGGGAGAUGACGGUACCUGACUAAGAAGCCCCGGCUAACUACGUGCCAGCAGCCGCGGUAAUACGUAGGGGGCAAGCGUUAUCCGGAUUUACUGGGUGUAAAGGGAGCGCAGACGGCAGUGCAAGUCUGAUGUGAAAGCCCGGGGCUCAACCCCGGAACUGCAUUGGAAACUGUACAGCUCGAGUGUCGGAGAGGUAAGCGGAAUUCCUAGUGUAGCGGUGAAAUGCGUAGAUAUUAGGAGGAACACCGGUGGCGAAGGCGGCUUACUGGACGAUGACUGAMGUUGAGGCUCGAAAGCGUGGGGAGCAAACAGGAUUAGAUACCCUGGUAGUCCACGCUGUAAACGAUGAAUACUAGGUGUUGG
Molecule: ribosomal RNA, 458 nt
Filed under: uncultured Lachnospiraceae bacterium
Lineage: Bacteria; Bacillati; Bacillota; Clostridia; Lachnospirales; Lachnospiraceae
Description: bacterial SSU rRNA
Rfam family: Bacterial small subunit ribosomal RNA
Source: RNAcentral